CUCAAUUUGAUUGAGUAACGAAGCCUAUGUGAAUUUUCGAGUAUAGGCUAUCCAAACUGUGAAUUUCAGGAACCAAUUCUGCUGUCCAGUUUUCCUAAGGUCUGUUAACACAGAGUUUGAGAGCGGCUUGAGGCAGUAAGCUUGUUAAAGCUUGGUGCGUAAAGCAUUGGGGGUCAAAAUGUCAAAUAUGGAAAAAAUAGCUCGUUCUACUCCAACUAAGAAGAUCAAGGUUCUGAAUAAGAGAACCAAGACUAUGCAGCAAGAUAUGGCAGAGCUAGCAGGUUCCGUGAAGACCAUUGCUAAAGCUAUAGAGAAGCCGAACAAAUCCAGUCAUGAAGUUGAUGUACGAAGGUUCAAGAAAUCUUUAGGUAAUGACUUCAUAUUUCAUGGAACCGAGGAACCAACUGAUGCUGAAAAGUGGUUGCUGGGUAUAAAGAAAGAAUUGAAAGUUAUGU
Papaver somniferum (opium poppy) is the source of this 455-nucleotide long non-coding RNA. RefSeq lists it as uncharacterized. The record is from RefSeq and is a predicted model, not a curated record. Lineage: Eukaryota; Viridiplantae; Streptophyta; Magnoliopsida; Ranunculales; Papaveraceae. The transcript is spliced from 3 exons.